This 360-nucleotide unclassified non-coding RNA is filed under the name Hevea brasiliensis (rubber tree). Lineage: Eukaryota; Viridiplantae; Streptophyta; Magnoliopsida; Malpighiales; Euphorbiaceae. The record is from RNAcentral.
AAUGUUCCAGAAAGUGGAUUGUAUGCACUUGCUGGUAUACCACUACCAGCAUUAGCAGGCCCUGAAGGCUUAGAUGAAGCCUUUUGGGGUUCCUUGCCAGCCUUUUUGUCCUUGGACUUGGAUUUUGAAGCUGGAGACAUCUCCUUGAAAGCAAUCUGUGGGAGAGAGAGAAGACAGCGUGAUUGAAGGAAGGACCGGGAUUAAAGUCGACGAGGAGACGAUAGAUAGAAAGAUAGGUAUCUGGAAGGCCAAACAGAAUCGAUAGAUUUAGGGUUUUGGGAAAUGAAAACGAGGAGGACAAGACAUUUGAUAUGAUAAAUCCGAAACUGGUCCUCUCUCGCCCUGUGUUUUUCUUUUUUU